GCUAAUGGCCCGUUAGUUGACAAUGGUUUAUUACAAGUUUGCACUUUCUAAUAACCAGUGAAGAAUCAUCAUCAAUCAACUCUACAGUUUUGACUUUUGCUUACACUCCUUUCCUUCUUCGCCUCUGUUCUACUUAAUUUCUAUGAGGGAUAGAAAGAUUAAGGAUCUCUGUUCUUCAGAAUCCAGGCACUACUCAAUUGCAAGGGAAUUAAUACUGAAACCAUUAACAAAUCCGGAGAAACUACUCUUGACACUGCUGAAAAAACUGGGCAUUCAGAGAUUGCAACUAUCUUACAGGACCAUUGAUUCCAGAGUGCAAAAUCCAUGAAGUCGCCAACAAGAAGCAAUUGGUGACAGUUAUAAACAAACUAAUGUGGUUGGCUUGCAAUUUUGUCUCGGUGGCUUUUUCUGCACUGUCUUAUAUUGCUGUGGGAAAUCAUGAGAGGCGGUUGGCAGUAAGUAUUACAGUUAUAAGGACAGUGGUCUUGGCUGCAAUAUUGGGGAUAAUGUCAUAUUGGGUAAUUAUCCAUCCAAUUGAAGCUUCCAAUUUGAGGAGCAUUCGCAUGUCUACAAGGAGUAGCUAGUCACAGUAGUGGUUUGCCUCGGUUAUGUCAGAUUCAGAGAUGCUGAACAAUGAGUACAAGAAGCUUUAUGCAAUUUGAGUUUGGCAUAUUACAUAUUCUUUUCUAACCCAUGGUAUUUCUGAUCUCUUCCCUUAAUUUUUUUUUUUAUGGCCUUUCCCCCUUUGCAUUUAUAUACUAAUUUAAUUUAACAGUCUCUUUUCUCUUUCAUGUAGCUGGUAAUUGCUGUUCCAUUAAGAUGAACUGUAAAAGAAGCAAAGAAUUCAGCAAGCACUUUGAUUCAGCUGAACAAAAAGCUAAAACAGUUGGUUUAUAUCAUUGUCAUACUAGAACUUUUCACUGGUUGGCUUUCCAGAUUGAAGCAUAAGGAAGGAUUACUAUGUCUAUUUUACAGCUGCUGCAGAACUUUCCCUUCUCAUUCAUAACCCUGGCUAAUUUGUACUCAUUUCCAAAUGAAGACCGUAUUUAUGUCUGAUUAACUUUUUAUUUUUAUUUAUUUUAUUUUUUAUCCACUGAGAGGUGAUAUCUUCAAAAAGUAAAUAAAUAAUUUACAGUUUCCAGCCAGUCCCACUUCCUGAUUUUUUCAAGAGAUUCCUGCAAUCACUUUAAGAUAGGGAAUCCAUUUCUACUUUGGCUUAAUGCAAGCCAGGGAAAGUACAGCUGCUCUGGUUAGCAAGUGGAUAUCAACUUCCUUGAUGAUCUUAUGACAUAUCUCCUUAUUUAAUCUUAUGCAAUUGUCAUCAGUUAUGUUUUGGGUGGAAAAAGUAGUUUUCAAGAUGGAAUUAUAUAGAAACAUUAUUCAUGAUUUAUCAUUCUGAUAAAUCUCAUGCUGUUGAAAAUUUCCAAGUUCUCUGAUUACCAUAUAUUCCAAGAUGGACUGGCUAGAUGAUAUAUAUCAGUUUUGGUGGAAAACAAUGUAGGUCUUGAUCAGUAGCUGAUAAUGUGAUUUUAUUUGCAAUUUGGGAGUAAAAAUGUCUAUUGCAUGUAUUUGGGAUCUAUGUUAGAUUUGGGUGCAUAUAUGGUUGUCAAAUUUUUCUAGGUUUCAAAUCUUAGGACAGUGGAACAUUACUGAAUAGUCAGUGUCCUAGACUCCUAGUUUUAUCCAUCCUCAUCUAGAAUAAACCUCAAGUGUUAUAUAGGAUGUGAUAUUCUUUGGAAGUUCCAGGAAACAGGAAUGAGUCCCCCUUCUUCAUUCUGCUUGCUGUGUAGGUCUAUCAUGCACUUCUCCUGUACACACACCUGUGUGAUGUCAUGGCUAACAUGGUAUUUUUUGACUCCUGAAUCGUCCAUUUGACGUAGCAAGCAUCCAUCUCAAGGAUCACCCACUUGUAUCUUCUAAAAUUAUUGUGACAGGAGCGUAGAGGACACUGAAUGUUGAUGAAUCAAGAGAGCAAAAGGUAGCCAAAUGAAUCAAGACAAUUAAUUGGCACAUGAUUCCUGAAAUGAUAACCACACAGUUCUUGUAACUUAGGUGUUGUUCAUAUCCCAGCUCUUUUCACUUUAUCUUCAAUUUUGGUUUUAUGUCCUGUAGCACAAUGACCUCCAUAAAGAGUGUGUGAUAUAUAUUAUUAAUUCUGAUUGAACACGA
This is a long non-coding RNA of Cornus florida, 2169 nucleotides long. RefSeq lists it as uncharacterized. NCBI's taxonomy places the organism in Eukaryota, Viridiplantae, Streptophyta, Magnoliopsida, Cornales, Cornaceae. The record is from RefSeq and is a predicted model, not a curated record. The transcript is spliced from 4 exons.